CAACACUGAUUCUCAUAUGAUCACCAAAGUUAAGCAACAUCAAGCCUGGUCAGUACCUAGAUGGGUGAACACUUAGGAAUACCUGGUGCU
Non-coding RNA from Acanthosepion pharaonis, 90 nucleotides. The record is from the annotation of a GenBank genome assembly. NCBI's taxonomy places the organism in Eukaryota, Metazoa, Mollusca, Cephalopoda, Sepiida, Sepiidae.